GCCUGGGUGGCUCAGUCGGUUGAGCGUCUGACUUCAGCUCAGGUCAUGAUCUCACAGUCCGUGGGUUCGAGCCCCGCAUUGGGCU
RNAcentral lists this transfer RNA (85 nucleotides) under Felis catus (domestic cat). It matches the Rfam family "tRNA". From Rfam's summary of the family: Transfer RNA (tRNA) molecules are approximately 80 nucleotides in length. Their secondary structure includes four short double-helical elements and three loops (D, anti-codon, and T loops). The record is from Rfam by way of RNAcentral. Lineage: Eukaryota; Metazoa; Chordata; Mammalia; Carnivora; Felidae.